This 253-nucleotide ribosomal RNA is filed under the name uncultured bacterium. RNAcentral's name for it is "partial 16S ribosomal RNA". It matches the Rfam family "Bacterial small subunit ribosomal RNA", at positions 524 to 776 of the family's 1533-position model. The record is from RNAcentral.
UACGUAGGGUGCGAGCGUUGCCCGGAUUUAUUGGGCGUAAAGGGCGCGUAGGCGGCCACGCACGUCCGUUGUGAAAUCGCCCGGCUCAACUGGGCGGGGUCAGCGGAUACGGCGCGGCUGGAGCAAGCUAGGGGGCAAUGGAAUUCCCGGUGUAGUGGUGGAAUGCGUAGAUAUCGGGAAGAACACCCGUGGCGAAGGCGGCUCUCUGGGACGGUACUGACGCUGAGACGCGAAAGCGUGGGGAGCGAACAGG